Molecule: long non-coding RNA, 1640 nt
Filed under: Olea europaea subsp. europaea
Lineage: Eukaryota; Viridiplantae; Streptophyta; Magnoliopsida; Lamiales; Oleaceae
Source: RNAcentral
UAUAGAGAGAUAAGGCUAGAGAUGGGCAAAAGCAAGAAAAACCGAGAAAAAGAGAAGGAAAAGAGGAAAGAAAAGGAGAAAAAUGAAGGAAAAGAAGAAGAAGAAGAAGAAGAAGAAGUGGGUCUUCAAGCUUGGAUUCUCCAUUUCUCCACUGAUUUAGAGAGGUGGGUGUAAGUAGGAUGAAUUAUCUUUUUGAGUUUAUGGAGAUUUUCUCAAAUUUAAGGUUUAGCAAAAUUAAAGAUUGUUGAUAUAUGUUUGAGGCAUUAAAAAUAACAAUAAUAUUAGUGUUGAAAGGAAGGAAAUGUGAAAUGUGUUUGUAAAUUAGAGUUUCAAUCUUUGAAUUAUUGUGUUUAUAUGAUAUAAAACACUUGAUUUAUGAUGAAUUAGAUUGGUAAAAGAAUUUUAGGUUAGAUUUUGGUAUUUAUAAUAAAUUUUUGAGCAAAAUUCACGUGCAAGUGCCAUUCCUGAAAUUCUACCAGAAAAGUGCUAUUUCUCUCAAUUGUUUUGAUGCCAGAUUUCAAUAUAUAGAAAUUGGUGCCAGAUCUAUAUUCUGGAAUUUUAGUGCUAUUUUUGUUAAACCUUGAAUUUCUAGAGUUUUAAAGGUUUGAAUGAAUUUAUAUGACAAAUAUUGAAGUCUAUGUAUUGGACUAACUAUGUAUAGGGAUUGUAUAUGUAAAAGGUUGUGAUUUUAAGGAAGUGUGAGUGGUAUAAUGGAUUUGAUAGUGUAUGAUGAUUAGUUGAUAAAUCAUUAAAGAGAAGAAAAGUUGGGGAAUUGGAAAUGUAAGAUUAAAUAUAAAAGUUGAGAAGUUAAGUUGUGGAUUUGUAUUAAUUUAAUUGAUAGGUUUUAAUUCGAGAAAUUCUACCGUUAUUUCAGGUAGGGACGUGGAAGCUCGGAAAGACUCAUCAAUUUAAUCAGAUUUCUAUCAAUAUAUCUGUGAGUGGAAAAAUAUAAAUAUUUUAAAGUAUUUAUAAAUUAAGAAUAUUACCAAAGUAUGUGCAAUUAUAUGAAUUAAUUGCUCCAUUAUGUGAUUACGAUGAAAGUUUCUAUUAUUAGGAUCCAUGCGGAAUUUCAAGGAUUAUUUGUGAUAUUGAGAAUUGUUUGGUAUGUAAGAUAUUUGAUAUUGAGGUCGACAAGAAAAGUACUCAUGAUUAUAUAUUUCUUCUAGUUCACUGAGAAGCUUUGGGCAUGUUCUAUAUUACAGUGAGGGGUCUUGGACCGGGUUGAAGGGGUCUUGAUCGUGUACAUAUAGUAAACUGAGUGGCCUUGAUCGUGUUCUAGAAUUGAUUAUCCUCUUGAGACCGACUUUCAUUCACGGAGAGGGCCAAAGGCGCGUGACGAAAGUUCUUAGCCCAAGGAGUGGAUUAAAAAUUUUAGGCAGGUGGUACAUUUUUUGUGAAUUUUUCAAUACAUUUAAUGUGAUGAGAAUAUAACAUGAUUACUAGCUUAUGUUUAUUUCAUGACUUGAGAUGAUAUUUCACCACGUUGUGUGAAUGUUUUACGUUUUGGUUAUAGUUAUAUGAUGUUAUCUUGUGAACUAUUCAAUGAUAUGAACUCAAUUUUCAAUAAAAAUGUAAAAUUGAAAAAUUAUAAUUAUUUUCGAACUUCUCCACUCACUAAACUAUCAACUCAUAUAUUUUCC